This is a non-coding RNA of Phrynosoma platyrhinos (Desert horned lizard), 68 nucleotides long. Lineage: Eukaryota; Metazoa; Chordata; Lepidosauria; Squamata; Phrynosomatidae. The record is from the annotation of a GenBank genome assembly.
GGCAUGUCCUAGUGGUCUGAGUGUUGGACUUUGACUCUGGAGACCAGGGAUCGAUUUCCUGCUAGCCA